This 425-nucleotide ribosomal RNA is filed under the name uncultured bacterium. RNAcentral's name for it is "bacterial SSU rRNA". It matches the Rfam family "Bacterial small subunit ribosomal RNA", at positions 359 to 776 of the family's 1533-position model. The record is from RNAcentral.
GAAUCUUGGACAAUGGGGGCAACCCUGAUCCAGCGAUGCCGCGUGUGUGAAGAAGGCCUGAGGGUUGUAAAGCACUUUCAGAAGGGAGGAAGGUCCCUAAGUUAAAACCUUAGGGAAUUGACGUUACCUUCAGAAGAAGCACCGGCUAACUCUGUGCCAGCAGCCGCGGUAAUACAGAGGGUGCAAGCGUUAAUCGGAAUGACUGGGCGUAAAGGGCGUGUAGGUGGAAAUGCAAGUCAAAGGUGAAAUCCCCGGGCUUAACCUGGGAACUGCCUCUGAAACUGCGUAUCUAGAGUAUAGGAGAGGGAAGUGGAAUUUCCGGUGUAGCGGUGAAAUGCGUAGAUAUCGGAAGGAACACCAGUGGCGAAGGCGACUUCCUGGCCUAAUACUGACACUGAGGCGCGAAAGCGUGGGUAGCGAACAGG